AAUCAACGCUGGCGGCGUGCCUAACACAUGCAAGUCGAACGCGAAAGUUCCUUCGGGGAUGAGUAGAGUGGCGUCCGGGUGAGUAACGCGUGGGUAAUCUACCCUCGGGUGGGGAAUAACCAAUCGAAAGAUUGGCUAAUACCGCAUAAUGCAGCGGCUCGACAUCGAGACAGUUGUUAAAGCAGCAAUGCGCCAGAGGAGGAGCCUGCGUCUGAUUAGCNGUUUGGCGGGGUAACGGCCCACCAAGGCUACGAUCAGUAGCUGGUCUGAGAGGACGGCCAGCCACAAUGGCACUGAAACACGGGCCA
RNAcentral lists this ribosomal RNA (308 nucleotides) under uncultured bacterium. RNAcentral's name for it is "bacterial SSU rRNA". It matches the Rfam family "Bacterial small subunit ribosomal RNA", at positions 32 to 333 of the family's 1533-position model. The record is from RNAcentral.